GACGAACGCUGGCGGCGUGCCUAAUACAUGCAAGUAGAACGCUGAAGGAGGAGCUUGCUCUUCUGGAUGAGUUGCGAACGGGUGAGUAACGCGUAGGUAACCUGCCUGGUAGCGGGGGAUAACUAUUGGAAACGAUAGCUAAUACCGCAUAAGAGUAGAUGUUGCAUGACAUUUACUUAAAAGGUGCAAUUGCAUCACUACCAGAUGGACCUGCGUUGUAUUAGCUAGUUGGUGGGGUAACGGCUUACCAAGGCGACGAUACAUAGCCGACCUGAGAGGGGUAUCGGCCACACUGGGACUGAGACACGGCCCAGACUCCUACGGGAGGCAGCAGUAGGGAAUCUUCGGCAAUGGACGGAAGUCUGACCGAGCAACGCCGCGUGAGUGAAGAAGGUUUUCGGAUCGUAAAGCUCUGUUGUAAGAGAAGAACGAGUGUGAGAGUGGAAAGUUCACACUGUGACGGUAUCUUACCAGAAAGGGACGGCUAACUACGUG
RNAcentral lists this ribosomal RNA (495 nucleotides) under uncultured bacterium. RNAcentral describes it as "partial 16S ribosomal RNA". It matches the Rfam family "Bacterial small subunit ribosomal RNA", at positions 28 to 507 of the family's 1533-position model. The record is from RNAcentral.